GAGCGAAACAAGGCGGGGCGAGAGCCGACAGGUCUGCCACACGUACCGAAAAAUGCGGCUGGGAAGGACAGUAACGGGAAGAGAAGUUUGCAGCCUGAAGCGGCCUCCAGUGCAUCCUUUCCAAGCCGUGUUUUGAGCCUUGUAAUAAUGUAUUCUUUUCUGGCCCUCCGGGGCUUGUAACGUACAUCUUGUUAGUUGCAAAAUGAGAAGG
This 211-nucleotide long non-coding RNA is filed under the name Elaeis guineensis (African oil palm). RNAcentral describes it as "long non-coding RNA (EGUI_LNC067072)". The record is from RNAcentral. Lineage: Eukaryota; Viridiplantae; Streptophyta; Magnoliopsida; Arecales; Arecaceae.